AGUGAACGCUGGCGGUAGGCCUAACACAUGCAAGUCGAACGGCAGCACAGUAAGAGCUUGCUCUUACGGGUGGCGAGUGGCGGACGGGUGAGGAAUACAUCGGAAUCUACUUUUUCGUGGGGGAUAACGUAGGGAAACUUACGCUAAUACCGCAUACGACCUACGGGUGAAAGCAGGGGAUCUUCGGACCUUGUGCGAUUGAAUGAGCCGAUGUCGGAUUAGCUAGUUGGCGGGGUAAAGGCCCACCAAGGCGACGAUCCGUAGCUGGUCUGAGGGGAUGAACAGACACACUGGAACUGAGACACGGUCGAGACUCCUGCGGGAGGCAGCAGUGGGGAAUAUUGGGCAAAGGACGCAAGCCUGAUCCAGCCAUACCGCGUGGGUGAAGAAGGACUUCUGGUUGUAAAGCCCUUUUGUUGGGAAAGAAGAGCAGCAGGUUAAUACCCCACUGUUCUGACGGUACCCAAAGAAUAAGCACCGGCUAACUUCGUG
Molecule: ribosomal RNA, 492 nt
Filed under: uncultured bacterium
Lineage: Bacteria
Description: partial 16S ribosomal RNA
Rfam family: Bacterial small subunit ribosomal RNA
Source: RNAcentral